UACGUAGGGUGCGAGCGUUAAUCGGAAUUACUGGGCGUAAAGCGUGCGCAGGCGGUUCGUUGUGUCGGCGGUGAAAGCCCCGGGCUUAACCUGGGAAUGGCCGUUGAAACUGGCGAACUGGAGUGUGGCAGAGGGGGGUGGAAUUCCGCGUGUAGCAGCGAAAUGCGUAGAGAUGCGGAGGAACACCGAUGGCGAAGGCAGCCCCCUGGGCUAACACUGACGCUCAGGCACGAAAGCGUGGGGAGCAAACAGG
RNAcentral lists this ribosomal RNA (253 nucleotides) under uncultured bacterium. RNAcentral describes it as "partial 16S ribosomal RNA". It matches the Rfam family "Bacterial small subunit ribosomal RNA", at positions 524 to 776 of the family's 1533-position model. The record is from RNAcentral.